UACGUAGGGUGCAAGCGUUGUCCGGAAUUAUUGGGCGUAAAGAGCUCGUAGGCGGUUUGUCGCGUCUGCUGUGAAAACUCGGGGCUUAACUCCGGGCCUGCAGUGGAGACGGGCAGACUAGAGUGCGGUAGGGGAGACUGGAAUUCCUGGUGUAGCGGUGAAAUGCGCAGAUAUCAGGAGGAACACCGGUGGCGAAGGCGGGUCUCUGGGCCGUAACUGACGCUGAGGAGCGAAAGCGUGGGGGAGCGAACAGG
Molecule: ribosomal RNA, 254 nt
Filed under: uncultured bacterium
Lineage: Bacteria
Description: partial 16S ribosomal RNA
Rfam family: Bacterial small subunit ribosomal RNA
Source: RNAcentral